Long non-coding RNA from Anopheles gambiae (African malaria mosquito), 4253 nucleotides. RefSeq lists it as uncharacterized. The record is from RefSeq and is a predicted model, not a curated record. The transcript is spliced from 7 exons. NCBI's taxonomy places the organism in Eukaryota, Metazoa, Arthropoda, Insecta, Diptera, Culicidae.
AAGAAAAAUAUAGACAUCUCUGUCGAUUUUUUCGUUAAUUUUGAUCUUUUUCGUUAAAAACACCGGUUAAAUUUUAAUAUUUAACGAAACAUUGACGAAGCAAGGAAAGCGUUACCCGGCAGGCAAUUGACGUUUCAUACUAGGGCGAGGGGCGUUGAAACGCAUGGAAGAGCAUGAAGAAACACGGACGAGCGGUGCUGAACUGCAACUGUGUGCGUGCAACAGCACCAAACGGCAUGUGACGACGUACAGUGUGUGGAUGUGUGUGUGUAAUUUUAAGCAGCGAAGAUGGAUCGAGGUUAUGUUUACAAAGUGAAAGAGUUUGAUGCAGAAGCGUCUUUGUGAUAAAAUGUAUUUUAGUUGCAUAUUUUCAGUGUUAAAGUUUGUAAUGUGAACUUAAAAGUAAUGAACAAUGGUGCUGUUCUCUUGUGUGCUGUUGGCGAAUAUUGAAGCGUUGAAAUAUUGAAGCUUCAUAUGUUAGUUUGUUGUGCUUAGUGUGAAGCAAAAAUGUGUGCUAAAGUGUUAUAAAUUAGAAAUAUUUAUACGUAUCCGUCUAAUGUUCGGUUGUACCCAUCUAAUUUUCCAUAUUUUUUGGUGUCCUUAUCGUUUACCAGGAGAAAAAGAUUGGAGGUUAGUUACGUGCAGCUAUUUCGCCUCCGCAGGAAGUUUUCUUCAGGAGUGUUCCAAGCUGUCCGAAGACACACAAAUCCAAUUCACCUCGUAUGCACCCAGCGGAUUUCAUGCGAAGGAUAUUGGAAAGCCAUCAAAGAAGUGGGCAUGAUGGUAAGGGAACUUUAAUUAUUUUUACUUUUAGAUUUCUUAUCCUUAUUUUUGUUUACAACAACCUUGGAUCGUCGGCGCGGGCCUUAUGGGAACUGCGCGGUCAGAGCAACAACCGGAUGAGCAUUUCGUUCCAGGUGGAAAUUAUAUCAAGUUUGGGAAUUGAAGAGAGUUACGGCACACUGUGAACAUCGUUGCAAACAAUCGAUGGUAACAUUUAUAUAUAGCUUAUGAAUGCAUGUGUUUAUCUAACUAUUCACUAAAUCGUUUAUUUAUUAAUUUGAGCAUUAGCGCUCCAUCGACGUAUGUUAUUUGUUGUUCUUUUAAGUAAAUUGCUCCAAUGGAACAGCUUCUCUCGGCCUUUCUCGGGUUUAGUUGCUGUUGCUUGACCGCGACGAGUGACACCAGAGUUUGCUAUGGUCGUAUUGUCGUCGUGUAAUCGUGUUAUUGCUGUUAACGCACUUUGUUUAUAUCUAUUAAGAUGCAACAGCAUUAUUUAUUUUCCGGAAUAUCGUUAGCGUUGUUCCUCCUCGGUCAAACGGUUCACAGUGGGCAAUAAAGAACAAUAAAUGAUAGGAGCAAAAACGCGAUGGCUGUUAGUGAUUUGCAAAAUGAUACCAACAGCCAUUUUACAUUUUUUAUCUUAAACAAGCAUUGCCCCUGAAAGCUACUAAAGCAAAUGUGUAUUACUUACUAUGAGCUGUGUGAUAGGUACAAUAAAAGGUACAAUUUUUCAUUUAAUUUGUAAAAUUAGAAAAGAAUAGAUCAAAGGUGAUUGAUAAAUAUAGUAUCAAUAUUACAUUGCGAUUAAUAAAAAUGGAAAAGCAAUGUGUUUAUCAAUAAAUAAUAUGUAAUGUAUGUAAUAUGUAUAAGCAGCAACUAUAAAUAGGUAGAGCAAUUUAACCAAAUAAAUAUAUGUUUAUUUCUUCCUUCUAUGGCAGCUUGUUUUAACAUUUCCCUGCAUGUUUACUCUUGCCGGUGCAUGUGUCAGUUUUCUUUUUAAAUAUUCUUUAUCAUAUCUACGUCUAUUCCCACGUGGUUUGUGGCGAUAGACUUAAAUAAGCACUGUAUUUGGAUAGUUACUAAAAGCUAUUUUUGUCCUGACGAUCCUCCCCAGCUACACCGUGCAAGAAAAGUCCUAUCAAACAUCACGUUUAAAGCCUUAUGCAUCCUGUUGUUGGCAUCCUGGCUGCUGAUAUCUGCAUCUAUUAUUUAAGUAUAACUGCAAAAUGCAAAAUCAUCUCCAGCUAUUUUUGCUAAAAAUGUAUCAAACUGUUGUUCAUUUCCGAUUUUUUAAAGUGCUAAACUCUCCGCAUUUCUUCUUAUACCCUUCAUAGGAUUCAGUAUUGUGGGCUGCUCAUUUAAAAUCACCACUAUCUGUGCGCUGCGUGCAUCUAUUUUCAUUAACAGCAUCCGACAACGAAGGCAGCAGCUUCCAGAAUACUCUGUAGAAGUAAUUGAAUGGACUGCUUGAUUUGCUCCUGCUGCAGCCUGGUGUUCAUCUUCGGUGAUCAUCAUUAUUGGCGACGAAGGCAGCACAGGCAAAUUUAUUACAACAGGACCAUUUGCUCGUUCAUUUCACCGGCGCUUGUCGAUGGCACUUGGCUACCACCGUCAACUAUCUUGCCUGGCGGACAGAUGUGGCUAGGAACACAGCAGCCGCUAUCACCGAUGCAGAAGCACUGGUGGGUAAAUGUUGUCUUACAAUAGCGGUCAUCAUACCACGCUGAUUCUUCGGAGUAUGAACUUCGACAAGCGAUGCAAUCGAUGGUACUGCAGAUCCCGCCAAUGCCUGUUGUCUACCGAUCUUCAUGCCUGAUUCCUGCGGUAGAGCAUCAGCAACCGGUACCACUGAUGGCGCAGCAGUACUAGUUGACGGUUGCUGUCCAUGUUGCUGGCCUAACGGACGGAAUGGUGCAGGAACACCAGGUAAUGUUGACCGAUGAUGAUUAUUAUCACCGGCAUUCGAGACCAGCGCUGACACUUCAUCCGUUACCUUCAGCUGUUCAACAACACGGACUGGCAUUCUUUGUUGACUCGCGCUAACCGGCCACUGAAACCACCGAAGGCACUGCACUUGUUGUCGGAAGUUGUCCAACAACACGCACCGGCAAUCGGGGACGACGGAUGGUACGAGGAAUGGCAACCGAAACCAUCGAUGGCACUGCACUUGUCGUCGGAAGUUGUCCAACAACACGGACUGGUACAUCUGACUGACGAAGCUACUUAUCACACACCCGCAUUUUAUGUCCCCAUUCUUGGUGUUUCCUGGUUACUCGCCAUCGCGCUGUAGUCGGAUCAUACUGCACCUGUCCUGCUUCGAUUAAUGCUCCGAUUAAGACAAAAUUAGAGCACGCGUUCCUAUUCCUCAUCCUCCGGCACCGUCUGGAGAAUGUGGGAGUCACUGCUCUAUAAAAACCACCGGACUACCACAAACUGGAAACAGCGGAAAACCCCGUGGGUCACCGGCCACCGUGCUAAAUUGAAGCAAAGUUGAACUAAUAUGCCGUGCGAAAAAGCAAAAUAAAUAUUUCAUUUUAAUGUUUAUUAAGCUACACUGACAUUAUAUUUUUCAUCUAAAACGUUUUUGAUGUGUUUUUUCUCAUCGCGUUUAGGCGUCGUGUAUCAGAUCGCAACUGCUAAUAUUUUCGUCGUCUGAGACGGACUGUUAUGGAGGUACAAAAUCUUCAGUGAUGCGUUCACGCAUCUACGAGCCGGUAAUUUGCGGUAUCCAGAUCAUCGUCGUACUGUUGACUUACCUAAGCUACCGAAAUUAGCGACAGUGUAAAAUCUGUGCUGUGAGAAUUACAGUUGGCUCUAACAAAUGUCGCCUUUAUUCCUUUGUACAUACAAGAAACGAUCGCGAACGAUCAGCAUGAAAUGCACUUGACUGAUAUUAUUCUUUUUCUUUAGUUUCAGAUAAGCCGUUCUCAUCAAUGCCAUAUCAUGUACGGUCGGUUAGUUACACUUCAUAACGAAGGAUAAUCACAUCUGGUUAACGGAAUGCUGCCAAAACGAUGAAGCUGGCUUAGCCCUCGAUGACGACGCAACUCCUGCACGUUCGUCGUCAUACUAUCAUUUCAACUGGAGGCAUGUUUGUUUUAGGCGGCUACAACAUGUUGUUUGAACAUGUUGAAUAGAACAAACAUGUUGAUAAUGGUGAAUGCUGGAACUCCGUGAUAACCGUUUUCGUGCGCUGAAUAAGGUUUGUAUGAAAAAUAGUGUAUUUUUAGAAUAUUUUAUUUUUCAAUAAAGUAACGGUAAAUUUGAAAUACACUGUGUUGAUAAACAACCCGAAUGAAAGAAAUACACGGAUAAACGAAUGUAAACAAUACACGAAAGAACGGGAGGUCCGUUUCAUCCGUACCCCCCCACGCCCAAUCAUGUCUUCCGUUGGGCGCCUGAGCCAUGCACGGUUGGGCGCCCGUUUCUCCUCCUCCGGCGCCGUCAGUUUAGCUGUCAAUUGCCUGCCG